AGUGAACGCUGGCGGCAGGCCUAACACAUGCAAGUCGAGCGGCAGCGCGUCCGACCACCCUCGGGUGGUCGGAUGGCGGCGAGCGGCGGACGGGUGAGGAAUGCAUCGGAAUCUGCCUCGUUGUGGGGGAUAACGUAGGGAAACUUACGCUAAUACCGCAUACGACCUACGGGUGAAAGUGGGGGACCUUCGGGCCUCACGCGAUGAGAUGAGCCGAUGCCGGAUUAGCUAGUUGGCGGGGUAAAGGCCCACCAAGGCGACGAUCCGUAGCUGGUCUGAGAGGAUGAUCAGCCACACUGGAACUGAGACACGGUCCAGACUCCUACGGGAGGCAGCAGUGGGGAAUAUUGGACAAUGGGGGCAACCCUGAUCCAGCCAUGCCGCGUGUGUGAAGAAGGCCUCGGUUGUAACGUUAG
RNAcentral lists this ribosomal RNA (416 nucleotides) under uncultured bacterium. RNAcentral describes it as "bacterial SSU rRNA". It matches the Rfam family "Bacterial small subunit ribosomal RNA", at positions 30 to 436 of the family's 1533-position model. The record is from RNAcentral.